RNAcentral lists this ribosomal RNA (117 nucleotides) under Danio rerio (zebrafish). The record is from RNAcentral. Lineage: Eukaryota; Metazoa; Chordata; Actinopteri; Cypriniformes; Danionidae.
AUCCACAGCCAUAUCACCCUGCAGCCCAAGUCCGGUUACUCACUGAAGCUAAGCAGGGCUGAGCCUGGUCAGUACCUGGAUGGGAGACCACAUGGGAAAACUAGGGUGCUGUUGAAA